Molecule: ribosomal RNA, 506 nt
Filed under: uncultured bacterium
Lineage: Bacteria
Description: partial 16S ribosomal RNA
Rfam family: Bacterial small subunit ribosomal RNA
Source: RNAcentral
AGUGAACGCUGGCGGUAGGCCUAACACAUGCAAGUCGAACGGCAGCACAGAGGAGCUUGCUCCUUGGGUGGCGAGUGGCGGACGGGUGAGGAAUACAUCGGAAUCUACUCUGUCGUGGGGGAUAACGUAGGGAAACUUACGCUAAUACCGCAUACGACCUACGGGUGAAAGCAGGGGAUCUUCGGACCUUGCGCGAUUGAAUGAGCCGAUGUCGGAUUAGCUAGUUGGCGGGGUAAAGGCCCACCAGGGCGACGAUCCGUAGCUGGUCUGCGAGGAUGAUCCGCCACACGGGAACUGAGACACGGUCCAGGCUCCUACGGGAGGCAGCAGUGGGGAAUAUUGGACAAUGGGCGCAAGCCUGAUCCAGCCAUACCGCGUGGGUGAAGAAGGCCUUCGGGUUGUAAAGCCCUUUUGUUGGGAAAGAAAUCCAUCUGGUUAAUACCCGGGUGGGAUGACGGUACCCAAAGAAUAAGCACCGGCUAACUUCGUGCCAGCCGCCGCCGUAA